RNAcentral lists this ribosomal RNA (497 nucleotides) under uncultured bacterium. Its description in RNAcentral is "partial 16S ribosomal RNA". It matches the Rfam family "Bacterial small subunit ribosomal RNA", at positions 28 to 507 of the family's 1533-position model. The record is from RNAcentral.
GAUGAACGCUGGCGGCGUGCCUAAUACAUGCAAGUCGAGCGAACAGACGGGAAGCUUGCCUCUCUGAUGUUAGGGGCGGGCGGGAGUGUAACACGUGGAAACCGUCCUUAUAAGUCUGAGAUAGGUUGGGAAAACCGGCUCUUACACCGGAUGCUGUUUUGAACGGCAGGGUUGAAAAGUGAAAGACGGUCUUGGUGUUACGUAUAGAUGGAUCCGAGCUGCAUUAGCGAGUUGGUAAGGUAAAGGCUUACCAUGGCAACGAUGCAUCGCCGACCUGAGGGGGUGAGCGGGCACACGGUAACUGUGACACGGUCCUGACGCCUACGGGAGGCCGCGGGGGGGAAUCGUCCGCAAUGGGCGAAAGCAUGACGGAGCAACGCCGCGUGGGUGAUGAAGGGCUUCGGAUCUUAAAGCUCUGUUAUUAUGGAAGAAGAGAUGUAGAAGUAGCUGUGCACAUCUUGACGGUACCGAAUCAGAAAGCCCCGGCUAACUACGUG